GAUGAACGCUGGCGGCGUGCCUAGUACAUGCAAGUCGAGCGAACAGAUGAGGAGCUUGCUCCUCUGACGUUAGCGGCGGACGGGUGAGUAACACGUGGAUAACCUACCUAUAAGACUGGGAUAACUUCGGGAAACCGGAGCUAAUACCGGAUAAUAUAUUGAACCGCAUGGUUCAAUAGUGAAAGACGGUUUUGCUGUCACUUAUAGAUGGAUCCGCGCCGCAUUAGCUAGUUGGUAAGGUAACGGCUUACCAAGGCAACGAUGCGUAGCCGACCUGAGAGGGUGAUCGGCCACACUGGAACUGAGACACGGUCCAGACUCCUACGGGAGGCAGCAGUAGGGAAUCUUCCGCAAUGGGCGAAAGCCUGACGGAGCAACGCCGCGUGAGUGAUGAAGGUCUUCGGAUCGUAAAACUCUGUUAUUAGGGAAGAACAAAUGUGUAAGUAACUAUGCACGUCUUGACGGUACCUAAUCAGAAAGCCACGGCUAACUACGUG
RNAcentral lists this ribosomal RNA (497 nucleotides) under uncultured bacterium. RNAcentral describes it as "partial 16S ribosomal RNA". It matches the Rfam family "Bacterial small subunit ribosomal RNA", at positions 28 to 507 of the family's 1533-position model. The record is from RNAcentral.